This 465-nucleotide ribosomal RNA is filed under the name Vreelandella stevensii. RNAcentral's name for it is "partial 16S ribosomal RNA". It matches the Rfam family "Bacterial small subunit ribosomal RNA", at positions 338 to 795 of the family's 1533-position model. Lineage: Bacteria; Pseudomonadati; Pseudomonadota; Gammaproteobacteria; Oceanospirillales; Halomonadaceae. The record is from RNAcentral.
CCUACGGGGGGCUGCAGUGGGGAAUAUUGGACAAUGGGCGAAAGCCUGAUCCAGCCAUGCCGCGUGUGUGAAGAAGGCCUUCGGGUUGUAAAGCACUUUCAGUGGGGAAGAAAGCCUUGGGGCUAAUACCCUCGAGGAAGGACAUCACCCACAGAAGAAGCACCGGCUAACUCCGUGCCAGCAGCCGCGGUAAUACGGAGGGUGCGGGCGUUAAUCGGAAUUACUGGGCGUAAAGCGCGCGUAGGCGGUCUGAUAAGCCGGUUGUGAAAGCCCCGGGCUCAACCUGGGAACGGCAUCCGGAACUGUCAGGCUAGAGUGCAGGAGAGGAAGGUAGAAUUCCCGGUGUAGCGGUGAAAUGCGUAGAGAUCGGGAGGAAUACCAGUGGCGAAGGCGGCCUUCUGGACUGACACUGACGCUGAGGUGCGAAAGCGUGGGUAGCAAACAGGAUUAGAUACCCCUGUAGUC